AAACACACAAGCAAAGAUGAAAGCUCAACAAGAAAGCACACAAGCAAUGAUGGCUAUGCUUAACACUAUGAAAUCCGAAAUGGACCGAUUAACACAAGCCUCAAUUAAAGGAAACUCACAGAGUUCUGCGCAAUUGGGUGAAGAUUAAGGCCAUUGCAUAAGCUUCCCUCAUUUUUUGGUAUAUGAGUAUGUCCUGGAA
Molecule: long non-coding RNA, 199 nt
Organism: Macadamia integrifolia
Lineage: Eukaryota; Viridiplantae; Streptophyta; Magnoliopsida; Proteales; Proteaceae
Exons: 3
Source: RefSeq, a predicted model, not a curated record